UGGGGAAUAUUGCACAAUGGGCGCAAGCCUGAUGCAGCCAUGCCGCGUGUAUGAAGAAGGCCUUCGGGUUGUAAAGUACUUUCAGCGGGGAGGAAGGGAGUAAAGUUAAUACCUUUGCUCAUUGACGUUACCCGCAGAAGAAGCACCGGCUAACUCCGUGCCAGCAGCCGCGGUAAUACGGAGGGUGCAAGCGUUAAUCGGAAUUACUGGGCGUAAAGCGCACGCAGGCGGUCUGUCAAGUCGGAUGUGAAAUCCCCGGGCUUAACCUGGGAACUGCAUUCGAAACUGGCAGGCUAGAGUCUUGUAGAGGGGGGUAGAAUUCCAGGUGUAGCGGUGAAAUGCGUAGAGAUCUGGAGGAAUACCGGUGGCUAAGGCGGCCCCCUGGACAAAGACUGACGCUCAGGUGCGAAAGCGUGGGGAGCAAACAGG
Molecule: ribosomal RNA, 429 nt
Filed under: Chloroflexota bacterium
Lineage: Bacteria; Bacillati; Chloroflexota
Description: Chloroflexi bacterium partial 16S ribosomal RNA
Rfam family: Bacterial small subunit ribosomal RNA
Source: RNAcentral